GAAGAGAGAGUAAACAGUGCGUGAAACCGCUCAGAGGUAAACGGGUGGAGUUGAACUGCGAACCCCGAGAAUUCAACUGGUGAGUGUGGUAUGAGCUUGGCAUGAUGGUUGGCUCUGCGGGUCUGCUUAGCUGCAGGUCUUCACCUUUUGGUGGGGAUGCGCGAUACACUUGUCAAGUGGUGCGCGCUCGUUGAGUUACUCGGACAUGCUUGCCAGUGCACUUUCUCGGGGUGUUCACCACGACCGGCGCCGCUACUUGGCUAAUAUGGUUAAACCGUUCUUGCUUGGUCCUUGUGGCUUUGCUUGAUCGGGAUGGCAGGUAGCUCGUUGACUUGUGUGUUGGCCUCGGCUGACAUGCGCUUGGUUUUCGAGUGUAAUCAGCUGACUGUAUUGGUGCUAUGUAGUGCGUCGGAGACGGCGGCUUGUGGUGUGUGCGUGCGUGCCUAUUCGCUGACGGGACCGGGUUCGGUUAUUAUGUUGCCUGUUCUGCAGGCCUGGUGAUAGCCCGGUUUCGCUUGGUGGAUGGGGGCGUGUGUGACACUUAUCAGGGCCUAUAGUCUGUGGUGUUGUGGUAGACUAUCCACCUGACCCGUCUUGAAACACGGACCAAGGAGAGUAACAUGUGCGCGAGUCAUUGGGUGUUACGAAACCCAAAGGCGAAGUGAAAGUAAAGACUUGACUUGUUCGAGUUGAGGUGAGAUCCUGUCGUUUCUCAUGCGCGGUACUUCCAAGCAUUCGAGCGAUGGGCGCAUCACCGGCCCGUCUCAUGGUGUGGUCACUGUCUUCGGAUCGGUGCGUCACCGGGGCGGAGCAUGAGCGUACAUGUUGAGACCCGAAAGAUGGUGAACUAUGCUUGCGCAGGUUGAAGCCAGAGGAAACUCUGGUGGAGGACCGCAGCGAUUCUGACGUGCAAAUCGAUCGUCAAACGUGAGUAUAGGGGCGAAAGACUAAUCGAACCAUCUAGUAGCUGGUUCCCUCCGAAGUUUCCC
Molecule: ribosomal RNA, 989 nt
Filed under: Notocotylus intestinalis
Lineage: Eukaryota; Metazoa; Platyhelminthes; Trematoda; Plagiorchiida; Notocotylidae
Description: LSU rRNA
Rfam family: Eukaryotic large subunit ribosomal RNA
Source: RNAcentral